UGACACCUAGCAGUAUGUAGUGGCAACUCAGUAGAACUAAAAUAAACCUCUAGGUGUAGUUAAGUAUGAUUUAGUCUCUCUAUCGUGAGUCCCGACUAGAUGGCAAGUCAUGGAUAAAUCGUCAAACCUCAACAUCGGUCAUAUGAUAGAUUGAUUAGCUCAAGUCCAGUUGUGACUUCUAUGAAAACUCUUUUUCAUCAAUCAUACUAUUGUGGCCAUAGACUCUUGGACUUACCCUCUCGAAUCUCAUAGG
This 253-nucleotide long non-coding RNA is filed under the name Elaeis guineensis (African oil palm). Its description in RNAcentral is "long non-coding RNA (EGUI_LNC039712)". Lineage: Eukaryota; Viridiplantae; Streptophyta; Magnoliopsida; Arecales; Arecaceae. The record is from RNAcentral.